This 506-nucleotide ribosomal RNA is filed under the name uncultured bacterium. RNAcentral describes it as "partial 16S ribosomal RNA". It matches the Rfam family "Bacterial small subunit ribosomal RNA", at positions 29 to 523 of the family's 1533-position model. The record is from RNAcentral.
AGUGAACGUUGGCGGUAGGCCUAACACAUGCAAGUCGAACGGCAGCACAGGAGAGCUUGCUCUCUGGGUGGCGAGUGGCGGACGGGUGAGGAAUACAUCGGAAUCUACUCUGUCGUGGGGGAUACCGUAGGGAAACUUACGCUAAUACCGCAUACGACCUACGGGUGAAAGCAGGGGAUCUUCGGACCUUGCGCGAUUGAAUGAGCCGAUGUCGGAUUAGCUAGUUGGCGGGGUAAAGGCCCACCAAGGCGACGAUCCGUAGCUGGUCUGAGAGGAUGAUCAGCCACACUGGAACUGAGACACGGUCCAGACUCCUACGGGAGGCAGCAGUGGGGAAUAUUGGACAAUGGGCGCAAGCCUGAUCCAGCCAUACCGCGUGGGUGAAGAAGGCCUUCGGGUUGUAAAGCCCUUUUGUUGGGAAAGAAAUCCAGCUGGCUAAUACCCGGUUGGGAUGGCGGUACCCAAAGAAUAAGCACCGGCAAACUUCGUGCCAGCCGCCGCCGUAA